Regulatory RNA element from Actibacterium mucosum KCTC 23349, 54 nucleotides. It matches the Rfam family "COG3860 RNA". NCBI's taxonomy places the organism in Bacteria, Pseudomonadati, Pseudomonadota, Alphaproteobacteria, Rhodobacterales, Roseobacteraceae. The record is from Rfam.
CGGUCGGCAGACACCGAGGCGUCGCUGCUCCUGACAGGAGUGCUAAACCUGCCC